Molecule: unclassified non-coding RNA, 17 nt
Filed under: Mus musculus (house mouse)
Lineage: Eukaryota; Metazoa; Chordata; Mammalia; Rodentia; Muridae
Description: oocyte_clustered_small_RNA7321
Source: RNAcentral
UCCGGUAGUGCUGAAAG